CCCUUAGAGUUUGAUCCUGGCUCAGGACGAACGCUGGCGGCGUGCUUAACACAUGCAAGUCGAACGGGGGUAGCAAUACCCUAGUGGCGGACGGGUGAGUAACGCGUAGGUAACCUGCCUCAUAGUGGGGGAUACCCAGCCGAAAGGUUGGCUAAUACCGCAUAAGCUCCAUCUUUGGAAUAGGGUGGAGGAAAGAUUUAUUGCUAUGAGAGGGGCCUGCGUCCGAUUAGCUAGUUGGUGAGGUAAAGGCUCACCAAGGCGACGAUCGGUAGCUGGUCUGAGAGGACGAUCAGCCACACUGGAACUGAGACACGGUCCAGACUCCUACGGGAGGCAGCAGUGGGGAAUUUUCCGCAAUGGGCGAAAGCCUGACGGAGCAACGCCGCGUGGGUGAUGAAGUUUUUCGGAACGUAAAACCCUUUCAGCAGGGACGAAGCGAGUGACGGUACCUGCAGAAGAAGCAUCGGCUAACUACGUGCCAGCAGCCGCGGUAAUACGUAGGAUGCGAGCGUUGUCCGGAAUUAUUGGGCGUAAAGAGAACGUAGGUGGCUAAUUAAGUUCGGUCUUAAAGACCGGGGCUCAACCCCGGGAAUGGACUGAAAACUGGUCGGCUAGAGGAUGUUAGAGGACGGUGGAAUUCCCAGUGUAGCGGUGAAAUGCGUAGAUAUUGGGAGGAACACCAGUGGCGAAAGCGGCCGUCUGGAACAUUCCUGACACUGAGGUUCGAAAGCUCGGGGAGCAAACAGGAUUAGAUACCCUGGUAGUCCGAGCCGUAACGAUGACACUGG
RNAcentral lists this ribosomal RNA (788 nucleotides) under uncultured bacterium. RNAcentral's name for it is "bacterial SSU rRNA". It matches the Rfam family "Bacterial small subunit ribosomal RNA", at positions 1 to 819 of the family's 1533-position model. The record is from RNAcentral.